CCUACGGGAGGCAGCAGUAAGGGAUAUUGGUCAAUGGGGGAAACCCUGAACCAGCAACGCCGCGUGAGGGAAGACGGUUUUCGGAUUGUAAACCUCUGUCCUCUGUGAAGAUGAUGACGGUAGCAGAGGAGGAAGCUCCGGCUAACUACGUGCCAGCAGCCGCGGUAAUACGUAGGGAGCGAGCGUUGUCCGGAUUUACUGGGUGUAAAGGGUGCGCAGGCGGAUUUUUAAGUCAGCGGUCAAAUCGUGGGGCUCAACCCCAUCCAGCCGUUGAAACUGGGGAUCUAGAGUGUGCGAGAGGUAUGCGGAAUGCGUGGUGUAGCGGUGAAAUGCAUAGAUAUCACGCAGAACCCCGAUUGCGAAGGCAGCAUACCGGUGCACAACUGACGCUCAGGCACGAAAGCGUGGGUAUCGAACAGGAUUAGAUACCCCAGUAGUC
RNAcentral lists this ribosomal RNA (439 nucleotides) under uncultured bacterium. Its description in RNAcentral is "partial 16S ribosomal RNA". It matches the Rfam family "Bacterial small subunit ribosomal RNA", at positions 338 to 795 of the family's 1533-position model. The record is from RNAcentral.